UACGUAGGGGGCGAGCGUUGUCCGGAUUCAUUGGGCGUAAAGAGCUCGUAGGCGGCUUAGCAAGUCGGAUGUGAAAACUCCAGGCUCAACCUGGAGCCGCCAUUCGAUACUGCUAUGGCUAGAGUCCGGUAGGGGAGUGUGGAAUUCCCGGUGUAGCGGUGAAAUGCGCAGAUAUCGGGAGGAACACCGAUGGCGAAGGCAGCACUCUGGGCCGGUACUGACGCUGAGGAGCGAAAGCGUGGGGAGCGAACAGG
This 254-nucleotide ribosomal RNA is filed under the name uncultured bacterium. RNAcentral describes it as "partial 16S ribosomal RNA". It matches the Rfam family "Bacterial small subunit ribosomal RNA", at positions 524 to 776 of the family's 1533-position model. The record is from RNAcentral.